This 427-nucleotide ribosomal RNA is filed under the name uncultured bacterium. Its description in RNAcentral is "bacterial SSU rRNA". It matches the Rfam family "Bacterial small subunit ribosomal RNA", at positions 29 to 458 of the family's 1533-position model. The record is from RNAcentral.
AUUGAACGCUGGCGGCAUGCCUUACACAUGCAAGUCGAACGGCAGCACGGGGGCAACCCUGGUGGCGAGUGGCGAACGGGUGAGUAAUACAUCGGAACGUGCCCAGUCGUGGGGGAUAACUACGCGAAAGCGUAGCUAAUACCGCAUACGAUCUACGGAUGAAAGCGGGGGAUCGCAAGACCUCGCGCGAUUGGAGCGGCCGAUGGCAGAUUAGGUAGUUGGGAGGUAAAGGCUCACCAAGCCUUCGAUCUGUAGCUGGUCUGAGAGGACGACCAGCCACACUGGGACUGAGACACGGCCCAGACUCCUACGGGAGGCAGCAGGUGGGAAUUUUGGACAAUGGGCGCAAGCCUGAUCCAGCAAUGCCGCGUGAGUGAGGAAGGCCUUAGGGUUGUAAAGCUCUUUCGCACGCGACGAUGAUGACGGU